UCUUGGUCAUUUAUAGGAAGUAAAAGUCGUAACAAGGUUUCCGUAGGUGAACCUGCGGAAGGAUCAUUACUGAAGUAUCAUAAUGGGUUGUUGCUGGUCUUCGUGCACACUCGUUAUUCUUCAUUUCUCCAUUCUUUGUGCAUCACUCGUGUGGAUCUUUGUCUGAGAUAUAUUUCAGACGAUUGGGACUGCUUUGCAAAGUUACUAUUUGUGGGGCUUUCCCUGUAUCUAUCUACAUGUUUUUCACAUACACACCAUGUUUAGAAGGAAAAUAAAGUUGAAUUUUUAUACAACUUUCAGCAACGGAUCUCUUGGCUCUCGCAUCGAUGAAGAACGCAGCGAAAUGCGAUAAGUAAUGUGAAUUGCAGAAUUCAGUGAAUCAUCGAAUCUUUGAACGCAUCUUGCGCUCCUUGGUAUUCUGAGGAGCAUGCCUGUUUGAGUGUCAUUAAUAUCUCAACCACAUCCAUUUUAUUUUGGCAUGUGGCUUGGACUUGGAGGGAUGUGCAGGCUACAAGACAGUCUGCUCCUCUGAAAAAUAUAAGCGGUACCUAUAUUGGAACUUUGGCUAGGUGUGAUACAUAUCUGCAUCUAAUUGAUCCAAGUAAGGUCAUACUGCUAAUUAUUACAACUUGAUAAACUUGACCUCAAAUCAGGUAGGACCACCCGCUGAACUUAAGCAUAUCAAUAAGCGGAGGAA
This is a ribosomal RNA of 697 nucleotides. The stretch from base 292 to 445 matches the Rfam family "5.8S ribosomal RNA".